AUGGUUGAUGAACAAGGCCGGACGGCUGGCGCUUGCCAAGUCGGUGCUCAGUGCGAUUCUGAUACACUAGCUGCUCGCGCCCGCGCCCCCAAAGAAAACCCUGAAGCAACUCGAGAAGAUUCAGCGUGGUUUCCUUUGGGCCGGUCGCGCAGACGCCCAUGGCGGUCACUGUCACGUGAAUUGGCGUCGGGGUUUCCGCCCGAUCGAAUAUGGUGGCCUAGGUGUCCACGUUCUCGAGCGCACUGGGCUCGCGCUCCGGCUUCGAUGGCUCUGGCUUGCGCGCACGGACACUAA
This 294-nucleotide ribosomal RNA is filed under the name Triticum aestivum (bread wheat). RNAcentral describes it as "partial small subunit ribosomal RNA". The record is from RNAcentral. Lineage: Eukaryota; Viridiplantae; Streptophyta; Magnoliopsida; Poales; Poaceae.